Molecule: long non-coding RNA, 772 nt
Filed under: Homo sapiens (human)
Lineage: Eukaryota; Metazoa; Chordata; Mammalia; Primates; Hominidae
Description: HSALNT0342187
Source: RNAcentral
CACCCGUGCACCUUAAUAAAGACCUGGCCCCACAGCUCUUCUCUCUGUCUCUUGCUCCCCACCCGUUGGUUGAGCUCCCUGCCACCUCUAGCCUUCCCGUCAGCCUCCUGUUGACACCCCUAACCUCUAUGUGAUCUGAUCAUGGCAUCUAUGUUGCUGCAAAGGACAUGCUUUCAUCCUAUUUAUGGCAGCACAGUAUUCCACGGUGACAUGUAACACAUCUUCAAACGGAGUCUCGCUCUGUUGCCCAAGCUGGAGUGCAGUGGCGCGAUCUCGGCUCACUACAAGCUGUGCCUCCCGGGUUCACACAAUUCUCCUGCCUCAGCCUCCCCAGCAGAUGGGACUACAGAUGCCCACCAUCACGCCCAGGAAACACAAGAGACCUAAGUGUUAAACAUCACCAUGGGAAUGCAAUCAGCAUGAUUCAGACUAUGAAAAACUACAUAACAACGCCAGUCUCAGAAGUAAUAAAGGAAAAAUAGCAACUUUACAGUGAAGAAAGCUGAAAGAUACCACCUCAAUGAAAUGAUCAAGCCCCUGCACUUGGAUCAGCUAGCACCACCCAGAUCGAUAAACUGGCUCAUCUGAUCUGUGGGCCCCCCACCCAGUGCAAGAGGAUAGCUUCAACUCUGUAUGAUUUUAUCUCUGACCCCACCAAUCGGCACUCUAGACUCACUGUCCCCCACCCACCAAAUUUUCCUUAAAAACCCUGAUCCCAAAUGCUUGGAGAGAUUGAUUUGAAUAAUAAUAAACUAAUCUCCUGUACAGCCGA